This 496-nucleotide ribosomal RNA is filed under the name uncultured bacterium. RNAcentral's name for it is "partial 16S ribosomal RNA". It matches the Rfam family "Bacterial small subunit ribosomal RNA", at positions 29 to 507 of the family's 1533-position model. The record is from RNAcentral.
AUGCACGCUGGCGGCGUGCCUAAUACAUGCCAGUCGAGCGAACGGACGAGAAGCUUGCUUCUCUGAUGUUAGCGGCGGACGGGUGAGUAACACGUGGAUAACCUACCUAUAAGACUGGGAUAACUUCGGGAAACCGGAGCUAAUACCGGAUAAUAUUUUGAACCGCAUGGUUCAAAAGUGAAAGACGGUCUUGCUGUCACUUAUAGAUGGAUCCGCGCUGCAUUAGCUAGUUGGUAAGGUAACGGCUUACCAAGGCAACGAUGCAUAGCCGACCUGAGAGGGUGAUCGGCCACACUGGAACUGAGACACGGUCCAGACUCCUACGGGAGGCAGCAGUAGGGAAUCUUCCGCAAUGGGCGAAAGCCUGACGGAGCAACGCCGCGUGAGUGAUGAAGGCCUUCGGAUCGUAAAACUCUGUUAUUAGGGAAGAACAUAUGUGUAAGUAACUGUGCACAUCUUGACGGUACCUAAUCAGAAAGCCACGGCUAACUACGUG